AAGUCGUAACAAGGUAACCGUAGGUGAACCUGCGGUUGGAUCAUUAUCGAAUUAUAGUGGCUAUCCGUGUAUUCGGAGAAACCAUUAUUAUCAACCCCUUGUGAACUUGAACGUAUUUUGGCGGCCCUCCAUGUACGUUGUGAAAUUUCUUCGGAAGUUUCGCGACGAUGGGCCGUCAGCUUUUGAACUACUCUUGUAUCUGUUUUAUAUUGUGUCUUGCAUAAGGAACGUUUCGACGCGCUUUAUGUUUUUAAAAUUAAUAAACAACUUUUGACAACGGAUCUCUUGGCUCUC
RNAcentral lists this unclassified non-coding RNA (294 nucleotides) under fungal sp. RNAcentral's name for it is "partial internal transcribed spacer region". The stretch from base 1 to 46 matches the Rfam family "Eukaryotic small subunit ribosomal RNA", at positions 1786 to 1831 of the family's 1831-position model. Lineage: Eukaryota; Fungi. The record is from RNAcentral.